This is a long non-coding RNA of Papaver somniferum (opium poppy), 344 nucleotides long. RefSeq lists it as uncharacterized. Lineage: Eukaryota; Viridiplantae; Streptophyta; Magnoliopsida; Ranunculales; Papaveraceae. The record is from RefSeq and is a predicted model, not a curated record. The transcript has 2 exons.
GCUCCACAUGCUUGAGCCCCAAAAGCAUGAGAACCACGUGUAAAAAAGUUGCAAAGGAAAAGCCUAUCUUGUUCUACACAGAUUCAUUUCAUUCAGAUCUUCCCCAUCCGCCAGGCAAUUUCAUCUGAGUUUUAUCGAAAUUGGGAAAGAAAGGCUAAAUUAUUGAAAUGGGUAGUCGUAUUGUUCUUUCUAAAAGAACUAUGAAGUCGAUUUUGAUGUUAUUCAUUCGUUUAGGUAAAUUUGUUAAAAUUGGAUUUUUUUUUUAAUUUUUUCUUUUGAACAAAAAUGAUCUGAAAUUGAUCGAUUACGAUCAAUGUAUAGCGUAAUUUCAAGAACUUUGAACA